Non-coding RNA from Podarcis lilfordi (Lilford's wall lizard), 71 nucleotides. Lineage: Eukaryota; Metazoa; Chordata; Lepidosauria; Squamata; Lacertidae. The record is from the annotation of a GenBank genome assembly.
ACCCAGAUAGAUCAGUCGGCAGAGCACGAGACUUAAUCUCAGGGCGGUGGGUUCCAGCCUCACACUGGGCA